Molecule: ribosomal RNA, 396 nt
Filed under: uncultured bacterium
Lineage: Bacteria
Description: partial 16S ribosomal RNA
Rfam family: Bacterial small subunit ribosomal RNA
Source: RNAcentral
ACACGUAGGGGGCGAGCGUUGUCCGGAAUGAUUGGGCGUAAAGGGCGCGUAGGCGGCGCGGUAAGUCUGGAGUGAAAGUCCUGCUUUCAAGGUGGGAAUUGCUUUGGAUACUGCCGCGCUUGAGUGCAGGAGAGGCUAUCGGAAUUCCCGGUGUAGCGGUGAAAUGCGUAGAGAUCGGGAGGAACACCAGUGGCGAAGGCGGGUAACUGGACUGCAACUGACGCUGAGGCGCGAAAGUGUGGGGAGCAAACAGGAUUAGAUACCCUGGUAGUCCACGCUGUAAACGAUGAAUACUAGGUGUGGGGGGACUGACCCCCUCCGUGCCGCAGUUAACACAAUAAGUAUUCCACCUGGGGAGUACGAUCGCAAGAUUGAAACUCAAAUGAAUUGGCGGGG